GACGAACGCUGGCGGCGUGCUUAACACAUGCAAGUCGAACGGAAAGGCCCUGCUUUUGUGGGGUGCUCGAGUGGCGAACGGGUGAGUAACACGUGAGUAACCUGCCCUUGACUUUGGGAUAACUUCAGGAAACUGGGGCUAAUACCGGAUAGGAGCUCCUGCUGCAUGGUGGGGGUUGGAAAGUUUCGGCGGUUGGGGAUGGACUCGCGGCUUAUCAGCUUGUUGGUGGGGUAGUGGCUUACAAAGGCUUUGACGGGUAGCCGGCCUGAGAGGGUGACCGGCCACAUUGGGACUGAGAUACGGCCCAGACUCCUACGGGAGGCAGCAGUGGGGAAUAUUGCACAAUGGGCGGAAGUCUGAUGCAGCAACGCCGCGUGCGGGAUAACGGCCUUCGGGUUGUAAACCGCUUUCGCCUGUGACGAAGCGUGAGUGACGGUAAUGGGUAAAGAAGCACCGGCUAACUACGUG
RNAcentral lists this ribosomal RNA (468 nucleotides) under uncultured bacterium. Its description in RNAcentral is "partial 16S ribosomal RNA". It matches the Rfam family "Bacterial small subunit ribosomal RNA", at positions 28 to 507 of the family's 1533-position model. The record is from RNAcentral.